UACAGAGGGUGCGAGCGUUGUUCGGAAUUAUUGGGCGUAAAGGGCGCGUAGGCGGCGCGGUAAGUCACCUGUGAAAUCUCCUGGCUCAACUGGGAGCUUGCAGGCGAAACUGCCGUGCUGGAGUGUGGGAGAGGUAAGCGGAAUUCCUGGUGUAGCGGUGAAAUGCGUAGAUAUCAGGAGGAACACCGGUGGCGAAGGCGGGUCUCUGGGACGUAUCAUCGACGCUGAGGAGCGAAAGCGUGGGGAGCAAACAGG
This 255-nucleotide ribosomal RNA is filed under the name uncultured bacterium. RNAcentral describes it as "partial 16S ribosomal RNA". It matches the Rfam family "Bacterial small subunit ribosomal RNA", at positions 524 to 776 of the family's 1533-position model. The record is from RNAcentral.